This is a long non-coding RNA of Quercus robur (English oak), 574 nucleotides long. RefSeq lists it as uncharacterized. Lineage: Eukaryota; Viridiplantae; Streptophyta; Magnoliopsida; Fagales; Fagaceae. The transcript has 3 exons. The record is from RefSeq and is a predicted model, not a curated record.
UUUCCCGAUCCCCAAUCUCAGCUCUCACUAUCUCAGCUCAACCUCUCGAUCCAAUCUCGCCGCCGUGCUCUCAACCCACUACCCACAAACCUCACGCCUCCUCCCUCAUCAAAACCCGAAAAAUUUGCUGACCGAAGAGACCCAAGCUCUUCACUGGUGAGGCUCACUCCGUCGCCGGCAGGCUGUCACUCCACUUGAUCAAGUUUCUAGAUCUUCUCACAGGUUUUUCUCCUUCACCAAGAACCAACCAAGCCCUAAAUUACGAAUUAGUACCAUCCAUCCAACAAUGGCUUCCGAAAUAUUUUGGGUAUUGUACUUUCCGAGACUAUCAUAAGACAGCUAUUGAGAAGAUUCUAGAGAAAAAGGACUGCUUGGUGGUCAUGGCCACUGGCAGCGGCAAGUCCUUGUGGUAAGCCACCCAGCCAGUCUCAACUCCCAUUUUCUACAUUGUGUAUUUGCAUCAACUUUAGUUUUACCUUUUCACUUUUAUGUACAGUUCUUUAAAAUCUUACUUUUUUCAUUUUAUAUGGUUUGUAAUUUGAUUACUGAUAUAAUCAACAUGAGUUCCACCCUU